Molecule: ribosomal RNA, 1275 nt
Filed under: Escherichia coli
Lineage: Bacteria; Pseudomonadati; Pseudomonadota; Gammaproteobacteria; Enterobacterales; Enterobacteriaceae
Description: partial 23S ribosomal RNA
Rfam family: Bacterial large subunit ribosomal RNA
Source: RNAcentral
CGAGCGAACGGGGAGGAGCCCAGAGCCUGAAUCAGUGUGUGUGUUAGUGGAAGCGUCUGGAAAGGCGUGCGAUACAGGGUGACAGCCCCGUACACAAAAAUGCACAUAUUGUGAGCUCGAUGAGUAGGGCGGGACACGUGGUAUCCUGUCUGAAUAUGGGGGGACCAUCCUCCAAGGCUAAAUACUCCUGACUGACCGAUAGUGAACCAGUACCGUGAGGGAAAGGCGAAAAGAACCCCGGCGAGGGGAGUGAAAAAGAACCUGAAACCGUGUACGUACAAGCAGUGGGAGCCUCUUAAUGGGGUGACUGCGUACCUUUUGUAUAAUGGGUCAGCGACUUAUAUUCUGUAGCAAGGUUAACCGAAUAGGGGAGCCGAAGGGAAACCGAGUCUUAACUGGGCGUUAAGUUGCAGGGUAUAGACCCGAAACCCGGUGAUCUAGCCAUGGGCAGGUUGAAGGUUGGGUAACACUAACUGGAGGACCGAACCGACUAAUGUUGAAAAAUUAGCGGAUGACUUGUGGCUGGGGGUGAAAGGCCAAUCAAACCGGGAGAUAGCUGGUUCUCCCCGAAAGCUAUUUAGGUAGCGCCUCGUGAAUUCAUCUCCGGGGGUAGAGCACUGUUUCGGCAAGGGGGUCAUCCCGACUUACCAACCCGAUGCAAACUGCGAAUACCGGAGAAUGUUAUCACGGGAGACACACGGCGGGUGCUAACGUCCGUCGUGAAGAGGGAAACAACCCAGACCGCCAGCUAAGGUCCCAAAGUCAUGGUUAAGUGGGAAACGAUGUGGGAAGGCCCAGACAGCCAGGAUGUUGGCUUAGAAGCAGCCAUCAUUUAAAGAAAGCGUAAUAGCUCACUGGUCGAGUCGGCCUGCGCGGAAGAUGUAACGGGGCUAAACCAUGCACCGAAGCUGCGGCAGCGACACUAUGUGUUGUUGGGUAGGGGAGCGUUCUGUAAGCCUGUGAAGGUGGCCUGUGAGGGUUGCUGGAGGUAUCAGAAGUGCGAAUGCUGACAUAAGUAACGAUAAAGCGGGUGAAAAGCCCGCUCGCCGGAAGACCAAGGGUUCCUGUCCAACGUUAAUCGGGGCAGGGUGAGUCGACCCCUAAGGCGAGGCCGAAAGGCGUAGUCGAUGGGAAACAGGUUAAUAUUCCUGUACUUGGUGUUACUGCGAAGGGGGGACGGAGAAGGCUAUGUUGGCCGGGCGACGGUUGUCCCGGUUUAAGCGUGUAGGCUGGUUUUCCAGGCAAAUCCGGAAAACCAAGGCUGAGGCGUGAUGA